Dipodomys ordii (Ord's kangaroo rat) is the source of this 65-nucleotide non-coding RNA. The record is from Rfam. Lineage: Eukaryota; Metazoa; Chordata; Mammalia; Rodentia; Heteromyidae.
GGUGGCUCAGGGGUAGAGCACUUGCCUUGCAUGCAUGAGGCCCUGGGUUCGAUUCCUUAGCACCA